UUGCGUGCGCGUAUGGAUGCUCCUUUUCUUGCCGCCUUUCUAGCAACUAGUUAAUGUUAUGAUGCAUCGUUGGUCCGGCGUACGACGGCGCCUGGUGCGAUUUAUGCGUCCGGAAGCCCUUUCAGCCUCCCAGGCAAGUCCCACCUGCCUCACAGCCACCGACGCAUCUCACGGCGGGGGUCUAAUUGCGUGCGCGUAUGGAUGCUCCUUUUCUUGCCGCCUUUCUAACAACUAGUUAAUGUUAUGAUGCAUCGUUGGUCCGGCGUACGACGGCGCCUGGUGCGAUUUAUGCGUCCGGAAGCCCUUUCAGCCUCCCAGGCAAGUCCCACCUGCCUCACAGCCACCGACGCAUCUCACGGCGGGGGUCUAAUUGCGUGCGCG
RNAcentral lists this long non-coding RNA (381 nucleotides) under Volvox carteri. RNAcentral's name for it is "long non-coding RNA (VCAR_LNC000104)". The record is from RNAcentral. Lineage: Eukaryota; Viridiplantae; Chlorophyta; Chlorophyceae; Chlamydomonadales; Volvocaceae.